RNAcentral lists this ribosomal RNA (1404 nucleotides) under uncultured bacterium. RNAcentral's name for it is "partial 16S ribosomal RNA". It matches the Rfam family "Bacterial small subunit ribosomal RNA". The record is from RNAcentral.
AGAGUUUGAUCCUGGCUCAGGAUGAACGCUAGCGGCAGGCUUAACACAUGCAAGUCGAGGGGCAGCGGGGAGGAAGCUUGCUUUCUCCGCCGGCGACCGGCGCACGGGUGAGUAACACGUAUGCAACCUGCCCCUGUCAGGGGGACAACCCGCCGAAAGGCGGGCUAAACCCGCGUACAUGCCACCGGGGCAUCCCGGAGGCAGGAAAGGCUUCGGCCGGACAGGGAUGGGCAUGCGGCGCAUUAGGCAGUAGGCGGGGUAACGGCCCACCUAACCGACGAUGCGUAGGGGUUCUGAGAGGAAGGUCCCCCACACUGGUACUGAGACACGGACCAGACUCCUACGGGAGGCAGCAGUGAGGAAUAUUGGUCAAUGGUCGGGAGACUGAACCAGCCAAGCCGCGUGAGGGAUGAAGGUACAGAGUAUCGUAAACCUCUUUUGUCAGGGAACAAAGGCGGGGACGCGUCCCCGGAUGAGUGUACCUGAAGAAAAAGCAUCGGCUAACUCCGUGCCAGCAGCCGCGGUAAUACGGAGGAUGCGAGCGUUAUCCGGAUUUAUUGGGUUUAAGGGGUGCGCAGGCGGUCUAUUAAGUCAGCGGUCAAAGCCCGGGGCUCAACCCCGGCCCGCCGUUGAAACUGGCAGUCUCGAGUUGGAGAGAAGUAUGCGGAAUGCGCGGUGUAGCGGUGAAAUGCAUAGAUAUCGCGCAGAACUCCGAUUGCGAAGGCAGCAUGCCGGCUCCACACUGACGCUGAGGCGCGAAAGCGUGGGUAUCGAACAGGAUUAGAUACCCUGGUAGUCCACGCAGUAAACGAUGAAUGCUGGCUGUCCGGAGGGACUGACCCCUGGGUGGCGAAGCGAAAGCGAUAAGCAUUCCACCUGGGGAGUACGCCGGCAACGGUGAAACUCAAAGGAAUUGACGGGGGCCCGCACAAGCGGAGGAACAUGUGGUUUAAUUCGAUGAUACGCGAGGAACCUUACCCGGGCUCAAACGGGGAGUGACUCAGGCAGAGACGCCUGUUUCCCACGGGACACUCCCCGAGGUGCUGCAUGGUUGUCGUCAGCUCGUGCCGUGAGGUGUCGGCUUAAGUGCCAUAACGAGCGCAACCCCCGCGUGCAGUUGCUAACAGAUAACGCUGAGGACUCUGCACGGACUGCCGGCGCAAGCCGCGAGGAAGGCGGGGAUGACGUCAAAUCAGCACGGCCCUUACGUCCGGGGCGACACACGUGUUACAAUGGGUGGUACAGCGGGAAGCCAGGCGGCGACGCCGAGCGGAACCCGAAAUCCACUCUCAGUUCGGAUCGGAGUCUGCAACCCGACUCCGUGAAGCUGGAUUCGCUAGUAAUCGCGCAUCAGCCAUGGCGCGGUGAAUACGUUCCCGGGCCUUGUACUCACCGCCCGUCAAG